This 292-nucleotide ribosomal RNA is filed under the name uncultured bacterium. Its description in RNAcentral is "partial 16S ribosomal RNA". It matches the Rfam family "Bacterial small subunit ribosomal RNA", at positions 505 to 796 of the family's 1533-position model. The record is from RNAcentral.
GUGUCAGCAGCCGCGGUAAUACGGAGGGUGCAAGCGUUAUCCGGAUUCAUUGGGUUUAAAGGGUGCGCAGGCGGGACUUUAAGUCAGUGGUGAAAGCCCGAGGCUCAACCUCGGAACUGCCAUUGAUACUGAAGUUCUUGAAUGUAGUUGAUGUGGGCGGAAUGUGCCAUGUAGCGGUGAAAUGCUUAGAUAUGGCACAGAACACCGAUCGUGAAGACAGCUCACAAAACUAUUAUUGACGCUCAGGCACGAAAGCGUGGGGAUCAAACAGGAUUAGAUACCCCCGUAGUCC